CCUACGGGAGGCAGCAGUAGGGAAUAUUGCUCAAUGGGGGAAACCCUGAAGCAGCAACGCCGCGUGGAGGAUGAAGGUUUUCGGAUUGUAAACUCCUUUUGUUAGGGAAGAUAAUGACGGUAUCUAACGAAUAAGCACCGGCUAACUCCGUGCCAGCAGCCGCGGUAAUACGGAGGGUGCAAGCGUUACUCGGAAUCGCUGGGCGUAAAGAGGGCGUAGGCGGGAUAGCAAGUCAGAUGUGAAAUCCUAUGGCUUAACCAUAGAACUGCAUUUGAAACUGGUAGUCUAGAGUAUGGGAGAGGUAGGUGGAAUUCUUGGUGUAGGGGUAAAAUCCGUAGAGAUUAAGAGGAAUACUCAUUGCGAAGGCGACCUGCUAGAACAUAACUGACGCUGAGGCGCGAAAGCGUGGGGAGCAAACAGGAUUAGAUACCCCUGUAGUC
This 440-nucleotide ribosomal RNA is filed under the name uncultured bacterium. RNAcentral describes it as "partial 16S ribosomal RNA". It matches the Rfam family "Bacterial small subunit ribosomal RNA", at positions 338 to 795 of the family's 1533-position model. The record is from RNAcentral.